RNAcentral lists this non-coding RNA (195 nucleotides) under Streptomyces sp. AVP053U2. Its description in RNAcentral is "Bacterial small subunit ribosomal RNA". It matches the Rfam family "Bacterial small subunit ribosomal RNA", at positions 1 to 198 of the family's 1533-position model. The record is from Rfam by way of RNAcentral. Lineage: Bacteria; Bacillati; Actinomycetota; Actinomycetes; Kitasatosporales; Streptomycetaceae.
UUCACGGAGAGUUUGAUCCUGGCUCAGGACGAACGCUGGCGGCGUGCUUAACACAUGCAAGUCGAACGAUGAACCACUUCGGUGGGGAUUAGUGGCGAACGGGUGAGUAACACGUGGGCAAUCUGCCCUUCACUCCGGGACAAGCCCUGGAAACGGGGUCUAAUACCGGAUAACACUUCCACUCGCAUGGGUGGG